This 468-nucleotide ribosomal RNA is filed under the name uncultured bacterium. Its description in RNAcentral is "partial 16S ribosomal RNA". It matches the Rfam family "Bacterial small subunit ribosomal RNA", at positions 28 to 507 of the family's 1533-position model. The record is from RNAcentral.
GACGAACGCUGGCGGCGCGCCUAACACAUGCAAGUCGAACGGAGCUGCGAGAAGCUUGCUUUUCUUAGCUUAGUGGCGAACGGGUGAGUAACGCGUGCGUAACCUGCCAUGGAGUGGGGGACAACAGUUGGAAACGACUGCUAAUACCGCAUAAGCCCACGAUCCGGCAUCGGAUUGAGGGAAACGGAUUUAUUCGCUUCAGGAUGGACUCGCGUCCAAUUAGAUAGUUGGUGAGGUAACGGCCCACCAAGGCGGCGAUUGCGAGCCGGGAAGAGAGGUUGGACCGACACUUCUGGGGUAGGAAACAGUCCAGAAUCCUACGGGAGGGAGGAAUGGGUGAUAUUGCACAAUGGGGGAGACCCUGAUGCAGCGACGCCGCGUAGAGGAAGAAGGUUGUCGGAUAGUAAACUCCUGUCGUUAGGGGCGAUAAUGACGGUACCUAACAAGAAAGCACCGGCUAACUACGUG